Molecule: non-coding RNA, 630 nt
Organism: Pimephales promelas (fathead minnow)
Lineage: Eukaryota; Metazoa; Chordata; Actinopteri; Cypriniformes; Leuciscidae
Source: RefSeq, a predicted model, not a curated record
GCAUUUUUACUAUAAUAAGUUCAAUUAUUUUUUUCUGAAGUUUUUGGGUUAUGUAAAUAGCCCCCCUCCGGGGCCCCCGAAUGUUUGGUCUUUUUGAUGGACCACUUGUGCACUAUUUUCCCUUCUCUCACCACUAGGUUUUAUUACAGAUGUUAUAAUGUAAUUUAUGACUGGGAUGAUGAUUAUGGAGUCACAAUGUGUUUGUUUAUUAUCAGCGACAGCGCCCUCUUCAAUGACUUCCGGGUUUUGAAUGACAGAGAAUGUUUACAUGAAACACGAUGGCCACGCCCUCUUGUUUAUGAUGUCUGCAGAACAUUUCUUUGAAAACAGCCCUGAAGAUGCAAUAUAAGUCAGUUUUUUGUUUGUAAGAGCUUUAAAAAAUUUAGGCAAAUAAAGAACAUUAACAUGAAACUGAAAACUCUUAAAACCUAGUAUUUUUAAUGCAAUUUUUGCAAGAAUGAGUGGGACACAAGCUUGCAAUUUUAGGUGAAAACAAAGCCGUCACUCAGUGAUAGUCAUUAUUUAUAAACUUAGAUUUUUAUCAUUUUUUUAAAUUGGUUUGCAUGCAAAAAGUGUAUCAUGUAUAACAAUGACCCAUUCUUGAAUAAUAUUAUUAAAACUGUUGUAUAA